RNAcentral lists this ribosomal RNA (437 nucleotides) under uncultured Blastocystis sp. Its description in RNAcentral is "bacterial SSU rRNA". It matches the Rfam family "Eukaryotic small subunit ribosomal RNA", at positions 550 to 993 of the family's 1831-position model. The record is from RNAcentral. Lineage: Eukaryota; Bigyra; Opalinata; Blastocystidae.
GGAGGGCAAGUCUGGUGCCAGCAGCCGCGGUAAUUCCAGCUCCAAUAGCGUAUAUUAACGUUGUUGCAGUUAAAAAGCUCGUAGUUGAAAUGAAGGGUAGUUGUGUAAUGAAUACAUUCGUGUAUUUUGUUAUUCUACUACCCUCCUUCUAAAUUCGAUAUAUGAGUAUUAAUUUACUUGUAUAUGGUUUUAGACGUUUACUGUGAGAAAAUUAGAGUGUUCAAAGCAGGCAUUUGCUUGAAUAUAUUAGCAUGGAAUAAUCAUGUAUGAUUUUCAUGAUGUAUUUGAUUGGUUUGGUUCAUGAGAAUAAGAUUAAAAGGGACAGUUGGGGGUAUUCAUAUUCAAUAGUCAGAGGUGAAAUUCUCGGAUUUAUGGAAGAUGAACAAGUGCGAAAGCAUUUACCAAGGAUGUUUUCAUUAAUCAAGAACGAAAGUUAG